UGUGUCAGGCUCAGUGUGAUUGUGCCUCAGUGUUAAUACCUUACAUUGGCAUCUACUGAGGGGUUAAGAUUGACUUUCUUUUUAGUUAAUAGCAAUGCAUCAGAGUCACUAGAACUUGGAUGCAUAAUGCAGUACAAGAACUCCUUUUCUGUGACACUGUUCAUUUGGAUUCCCGCAUGCUUUGUCACACUGUAAAGCCCCCUCAUCCUGGCAUAACCAAGAACUGAAUACUCUUGCCUGACUUUUUACAACAAUAGAUUUACUAAAGGAUAGAAGAUCAAGAUACACUGCAAAGUCACCUGAACUGACCCCUUGAAGACACCUGUGCUUUGUGGAAUCUGCAGAUAGCACAGAAUUACCACCUUCUGGCACAGGUGGGAUGGUUAUAGGAGAGGUGAUCUCUGGCUACUGCAAGGUUCCAGGCUUGUGCAAAGUGAAGAUCAAUAGAACCAGAGGAUCUGCCCAUAGUGUUGAUGGGAUGAAGGCAAUUCAAACACUGCACAGUUUAUGGAGCAGGAAAGAUUUGUAAAGUCUGCAGGAUAACCUCCCACAGCCCAUUCAUUUUUGUUUGUGAGUGAAAGGAGAAUUGGGCCCAGUAUAUAUCACCUCUGCAUUUGAACAAAAUAAUAUUGUGGGGGGCCACUAAAACCAAAUUGUUUAAGGUCUGCAGAGAAGGUGAAGUGGUGCAGGUUCAGUUAGAAAACAAUGCCCUAUGAUAAAGUCAACAGCAUGCAGAGCACUGAGGAAUAAGCCUUUACUUAGGCUAUAGAUGGCUACACUACAGCACUUACAGUGGCACAGCUGCAUUAGUGUAAUGCUGUUAGUGCAGCUGCUCUAAGCUGAGAGGAGAAAGCUCUCCCAUUGGUUUAAUUAGCCCCCAUGAGCAGGCAGCGGUGGUUAUGACAUAGCACUGUUAGGCAAGAGUUAAAACUUAAGUUAGCAGUUGAGGCAGAAACCCACAUAACAAGCAGAAAUACCAGAGGCCCAAGGACAAUGGCUGCUGUAAACACCCGAUAAUUUAAGUGGUCAGAUGUCUGCCCAGCAACUCGGCCUCUCUAAGGAAGAACAGUACAAGCCUUCCACAGCUCUCCAGAUAUCUGAACACUCACCCCUCCCCUUCAGGAUAGUCAUAGAUAAUUGAUAUAAUCAGAAUGGUUUCUAUGCAUAUGUUCUGCUCCUGUCAUUAUGUUAAGUGAUGUUCUCUCUCAGAAACAAUGUUUGUCUCUGUAA
Mauremys mutica (yellowpond turtle) is the source of this 1230-nucleotide long non-coding RNA. RefSeq lists it as uncharacterized. The transcript has 3 exons. Lineage: Eukaryota; Metazoa; Chordata; Testudines; Geoemydidae. The record is from RefSeq and is a predicted model, not a curated record.